CCUACGGGUGGCAGCAGUGAGGAAUAUUGGUCAAUGGACGAGAGUCUGAACCAGCCAAGUAGCGUGAAGGAUGACUGCCCUAUGGGUUGUAAACUUCUUUUAUAAAGGAAUAAAGUGAGGCACGUGUGCCUUUUUGUAUGUACUUUAUGAAUAAGGAUCGGCUAACUCCGUGCCAGCAGCCGCGGUAAUACGGAGGAUCCGAGCGUUAUCCGGAUUUAUUGGGUUUAAAGGGAGCGUAGAUGGGUUGUUAAGUCAGUUGUGAAAGUUUGCGGCUCAACCGUAAAAUUGCAAUUGAUACUGGCAGUCGUGAGUACAGUAGAGGUAGGCGGAAUUCGUGGUGUAGCGGUGAAAGGCAUAGAUAUCACGCAGAACUCCGAUUGCGAAGGCAGCAUACCGGCGCCCAACUGACGCUGAAGCACGAAAGCGUGGGUAGCAAACAGGAUUAGAUACCCCUGUAGUC
RNAcentral lists this ribosomal RNA (460 nucleotides) under uncultured bacterium. RNAcentral's name for it is "partial 16S ribosomal RNA". It matches the Rfam family "Bacterial small subunit ribosomal RNA", at positions 338 to 795 of the family's 1533-position model. The record is from RNAcentral.